UAUAAGUUAGUGGCGCACGGGUGAGUAAUAUAUAGCUAAUCUGCCUCUUAGUAGAGGAUAACAGUCGGAAACGAUUGCUAAUACUCUAUACUUCUGCUUUACAUAAGUAAAGUAGAGAAAGUUUUUCGCUAAGAGAUGAGGCUAUACUGUAUCAGCUAGUUGGUAAGGUAACGGCUUACCAAGGCUAUGACGCAUAACUGGUCUGAGAGGAUGAUCAGUCACAUUGGAACUGAGACACGGUCCAAACUCC
RNAcentral lists this ribosomal RNA (250 nucleotides) under uncultured Campylobacter sp. RNAcentral describes it as "partial 16S ribosomal RNA". It matches the Rfam family "Bacterial small subunit ribosomal RNA", at positions 86 to 339 of the family's 1533-position model. Lineage: Bacteria; Pseudomonadati; Campylobacterota; Epsilonproteobacteria; Campylobacterales; Campylobacteraceae. The record is from RNAcentral.